Brassica napus (rape) is the source of this 328-nucleotide long non-coding RNA. RefSeq lists it as uncharacterized. The record is from RefSeq and is a predicted model, not a curated record. NCBI's taxonomy places the organism in Eukaryota, Viridiplantae, Streptophyta, Magnoliopsida, Brassicales, Brassicaceae. The transcript has 2 exons.
GCUGAGAAGAAGAAGAAGAAGAUCGAUCAAUCUCGGAGACAAUGGCGAGGAUUGAGCUCAUCGACGACGAGGAAGAGGAUAAGAUGAAGAUGAAAAAGCGAAGCCAUGGAUCGACGAAGCUAUUCGUGUUCGUUGACUAUCUUUUCAUCUUUAUAUUUUUCUGCUUCCUUUGUUUCACCAUCUUCAAGUUAUGUCUUUUUAUGACAGCACAUAAGCAAAAGCUCGUGAUAUAUCCAAUACAUUGUAUCUUUUUCUUGUGUAUUGAAAGAGAGGGGAUAACAAAGAUAUGUUGACUCUUAUGAAAUGACUAGUAGACUUGUUACAGACU